GGCAAGGAAGAUAGGCCAAUAUAGAUGUAGAUUCGGAAAAUCAAAAAAGGAAUAAGAAAAAAGCAGGGUAGAAAAAUACAUUCCAUACUUGAAAUUCAAGAUCGUUUCCUUUCAGUAAUGGAGAAAAAAAAAAGAGAGAUCGGGCGUUGAGGAGAGAAACAGGGAAAGGAAUAUUGGCUUGAGAUGAGACUACUGUAAAUGCUUCUCUUUUUUAUUAUGAUAUAAGCAAUAGAAGGAAAUUGAUCCUCAGGGAAGCAAAAAAAGCUUAACCUGUUGGAAAAAGGUUGGGAUUUAGCAUAAAAGGGGACGAGCUUGAAGUAAUAAAUGAAAUAAUAAGGUUAGAGGGGGACUGUAGAGUUGUGGAGCAGAAGGAAUUCGGGGAUCGGCCAUAACUGAAAUAGGUAUGGUUUUUUAUUACUUGGAUUAUCUUUGUCAUUUUUCAAUUGCAUUUUUGUUUUGUGAGUUGGUAUGAGGAUUGUGUAGUGGAAUAUUAAAGGUAUGGGCUCAGAAGCUAAGAUAUUAUCUGUUAAAAGAGUCAUAUCAACGCAAGGGUGAUUAGCUGUUUUAUUUAAGAAACUAAGUUAGAAACAAUCACUAUUGACAUAACAAGGAAAAUAUGGUGUGACGAUAUUUUGGAUUAUAGAUUUUCGGAAACUAUUGGGUGUUCAGGAGGUGUGGUUAAGAUUUGGGAUAGAGGUGGUGUUCAAGUGGAUAAAGAUCUUUGUGAUGAAAGGUUUGUAUUAGUAAAAAGGAAAUGGUCGGUUGCAGGCAUGGAAGCAACCCUAAGUAAUGUUUAUGUCCAUAAUGCAAUUUUUGUUCAAAAGAUAUUAUGGAUGAAUCUUUUAACCUUAAAGAACUUGUUUUCUUGUCUUCGGAGUAUUCGUGGUGAUUACAAUACAGUGAAAAAUAGAAGUGAAAGAAGCAAUUGUGUGAGUUUAAAGAAAGGUAAAAACGAAUUUAAUAACUCCAUCGACAACUGCAAAAUGGUGGAUUUAACUUUGACGAGGAAAAAAUUUUCUUGGUACGAACCUAAUAAUAAGAGGAGCAGAUUGGAUCAAUUUUUAUUGGAAGAGCAUUGACUUUUACGUUUCAAUGACUUCUGACAGCAGGGAUUAAGUAUAUCUAUUUCUAACCAUCUCUUGGUCUUGUUAUUGAAUGAAUUAGUAGAUUGGUGACAACAUCCGUUAUUAAUGCGUGGCUCACAAAAAGGAUUGUUCAAGCCUUAUCAACAAAGUAUAGGGAGAGAUGGGAAUAUCGAAUAUGUGGAUGUCUGGAAAGUUGAGGAAAUUGAGGGUCGCUCUCAAAAAGUGGAAUGAAAAUUUCGGAAGUAAACUAGUUUAAAGGACCGAAGUAAUUGGAAAAUAAGAUAAUGGAAUUGAAUGAAAUCAAUGAUUGAGGAGAUUUAAAUGAAUCAGAAAUGGAUGAGCUUAGACGAUUGAAUAUUGAAUUGUGGGUAGCAAUUAAAUGUCGUGAACCGAUUUGGUGUCAAAAAUAAGAAUUAUUUUGUUAGGUGAAGGUGAUUCCAAUUUUGUUUCUUUCAUAAAGUAGUAAAAAUUAGAUCGAAGGAAAAGAUAGUGCAUGGCUUAAAAUUUGAGAAUUCAUGGUGCAAUGAUACAAAGUUUUUGAAGGAAAAAAUGUUCAAUUCGUUCAGUAAUUACUUUAACAGCUCAUCGAGAAAAUGGUUAGUGGAUAUGGCUUUGAACUUUAAGAAGAUUUUCGAGGAAGAUGCAGCGAAACUAAAGUUAUCUUUCACGUUGAAAGGGAUUAAGGAAGCAUUAUGGAGUUGUGACACCAAUUCAUUAGUGUUAAUUUCACAUUAGUUUAUACAAAUGGUAAUGGUAUGGCUACAAUGUUGGCUAUUGCUGGGGUGAGAAGAUCAACGUUAGUUAAAGCUUGAUGGUGAUCUAUUCUUGAUUAUUUUUUAGUUGUUUGUUUAGAUGUUGGACUUUUUGUUUCCUUGUUCAAUUGGGUGUUUUUUUUAUUUUUGACAAGGAAUGAGGUUGGUGUUACCUAAUGUCUUUCUAUUAUUAAUAUAUGCAUAUCGAUUGAGCAAAAAAAGUUAUCUACUACUUUAUUACGGUGUCAACUUAUAUGAUCAUUCCAAAACUAAUAAUUAAUAUUCCAAAACUUUUUAUGCACACAUUUUAACUUAAAUAUUAGGGUUAAUUGCACUAAACAUGGACAAACUGUGAUCAUGAUUUCAAAGCAAUCCUUAAACUUUAAAAUAUUCUAAUUGCAUUCUCAAACUUUUGGUGUUGUAUUUAUUAGUUCCUUACAUCAACGAAACUUUUCACUUAACUGUUAAACACCAUGUCAUAUAUGAUGUGGAUAAAAUCAUAAUAAGAUGCGAAUAAUUUUUUAGGCAUUUAUGCUAACGUGGAAAAUUAACAAUUAAAAUAAAGUUAAAAAAGGGGUCAUAUAUACCUAAAUUAAACAAUAAUAAAAAUAAAAAAAUUAUAUUAAAACAAAAAGUAGAGAACCCUCAAUUAAACAGAAAAUUCUUUAUUUAUUAUUUAAAAAAAUUACUAUGUAAAUGUGCAAAUAUUUUAGUUUUAUUUAUUGUUUUUUCAAUUGUUCCUUUUGAGUUGUUUUAGGAUGGUUUGCUCAGCUUCUCGAAUGAGAAGGCACUUGUAGUGUUGUGAUAACUCAGAACAUGAUUAAGUCCUUAGGUGAGCCAUGCAGCUUCUGUUGAAUUCACAGAAUCUUUAGAAAGAAAGUAGAAUAGAAGAAAAAGAAGAAGAAGAAGAAGAAGAAGAAGAGGGAGGGAAGGAGGGAGGAAAUAGAAUCUGUAAUAAUUGUCAGUUGGAAAAACCAAUAAUUUUCCCCUCUAUUUAUAACAGAAUUCUAGUAGUUUAGUUGGUAUAAAAGACUAACACAAAACAAAUUGUUUCAUUAAAGUCCCAUUAUAUUUCCCCAUAUGACAUUGUUUUAUUUUAAUACACAACAAUUUCUCCCUACUAAUGAAAUUCUUGUCCUCAAGGAUCAAAAUAAGGGAAUUGUUGUUUCAAGUCAUGCAAGACCUCCCAUGUAUGCAUAUUUAAGGAAUGAGUUAGUCCAUUGCACCAAAAUAUCUUUCACAACUCGGUUUCCAUGAUUGGCCGUCCUUUUUUCUCUCAUUUGGUAGGUAGCUAUUUUACAAUUGCUCCAUAAGAUCCAAUGAUUAGCAACUCAGCAUGACAUUCUUCCUUUACCACAUGUUUCUUUAACUUUUAAACAUGAAAAGUGGAGCGCACCUUGGACCCAGGUGGCAGUUGCAACUAAUAAGUAACUUUCCCCACUCCAACCAACACAAGAAAUGGACCAAAGAACUUGGGAGAAAGUUUUUGGUUACCCCUUAUCUUGAUUGAAUGUUGUUUGUAUUGUUGUAAAUUUAAGUACACCAUAUCCUCAACUAAAAACUCCCUUUCACUCAUUUUUUAUAAGCCAUAUGCUUUAUUCUGUCCCUGGACCUGUGCAAGUAGAAUUUCAAUAUUUUUAAGGUCACCUCACGAUGUUGCAAACUUAUAUCCACUAUUGCUACCAAAGAAGAACCUACCAAAUAGGGAACAUGCAAUGGAGGUGGUUGUAAAUGCAAAACUUCAAAUAGAUAGGUGUGAAUUGCAAUAUGAUAACAUGUAUUGUACCACCAUUUAGCAAGAAGGAGCCAACUGUACCAAUCACCUGGCCUCUUUCCUAAUCAUACACCUAAGCUAUCCUUCCAAACAUCUAUUGAGCACCUCAAUUAGCCCAUUUGUCUGAGGAUAAUUGGUUGUAGACAACUUGUGCUUAGUUCCUAAUCUCUUAAACAACUCUUGCCUGAAAGUAAUGAUGAAAAUCUUGUCUCUAUAAAAACAAUUGAAUCAAGUACCCCAUGUAAUUUAUACACUUAAUUCAAAUACUAUUGUUUCAUAAUCAAGGUGGUGUGGGGAUAGACCAACCCAAAAAAUGGUCUUAUUUGGUUAAUUUGUCUCCCACAAGUAUGAAACUCUUACCCUUUGAAAUAAGAAGACCAUCAAUGAAAUUUAAGCUUACUUCUGCCCAUGCUCUACCUAGCACAAGCAAAGGCUGUAGCAAACAUGGAAAGGCUGCAUUAUCAACUUUGCCUAUCUGACAUACCACACAUUCAGCCACCCAUCUCUUAACGUGUCUACUAAUUCCUUUCCAAUAUAAAAUACCAGACAUCCUACUCCUAGUAGCAUCCUAAAGCACUAUUCUGGAAGUAGUCAAAUAGGUCUUUCUUUAAAUCCCCAUCUUUUCCAAGUACCAACUUCCCUUUUUCUCUUUAAGCAUUGCCAUCCUAUGAAUACUUAGGAUGAGAAGUAUCAUUGAAUCCUACAUCAAAAAUUAUCUUCUACAACUUGCUAUAUGUUUGCCAAUACCCUUGAAUCCUUGGAACUAAAAUAGAAAUAAUUAAAAUUCCAAUCAGUUGAGAGAAUUAAGCCCUAGCCAUAGUUUUCCCAUCCACCAAAUAGGAUUCCUAGACAAUAAAUCAGUAGUUAUAUUAGUGGCACCCUUCCUACAACAUAUCUCAUAGUCAUUCCUUAACAUCUUGGCUACCUUUUUAUAUUGAAAUGGCAUGAUAGCCUAAUUGUUUAAAAGUAAUCUUAAACUCUGAUGAUUUGUACAAAUUGUAAAAUGUAUGCCAAUAAAGUAAAACUCCAUUUCUUUACAGCCAUGAGCACAACUAGCAUCUUCUUGUCAUAAAUGGAUAAAGCUUGGUGCCUUGGCCCCAAAGUUUUACUAAAAUAGGCUAAGGGUUGCCCCUUCUAUUGUAACACGACUUUACCUACAAGCUAAAAGCCAAUCUCAACUAUGAACUCACAAUUGAAGUUUGGAAAGGCUAGUAUAGGUGUUGAACAGAAAGCCAUUUUAAGCUGUUGAAAGGUCCCCUCAGCUAUCUCACCCUAUUACUAUUGGUUCUUUUUCAAAAGAAUCAAUUAAAGGUUUUUCCAAACUGCUAUAGUCCAUCAAAAAACUUUUAUAAUAGCUAGACAACCCCCAAAAAUCCUUUCAGAUCCUUAAUAGAUUGAGGAGCUGGCCAAUCUAGCACACAAUACAUCUUGGACUUGUCCAUAGCAACUUCUUCUUUAAAAAAUAAUGUAGCUUAAGUACUCAACUUCCCUAGCUCCAAAGCUACAUUUAUUCUUCUUAGCAUAAAACUUAUGCUUCCUCAAUAGCUACAAGACUUUCAUCAAAUACUUCAAAUAACUAAACCCAUCCUUUGAAUAUAUUAAUAUAUCAUCAAAAAAGACACUAUCACAAAUUUCUACAGUCAAGGCCUAAAAACUGGAUUUAUCAAGGCUUGAAAAUUGAAAGGGGCACUGGUGAGCCUAAAGGGCAUCACCAAUAACUCAUAGUGGCCCUCAUGAUUUUUUAAAGGAAUUUUGUGGAUGCUUUCUUCCUUUAUUCUGAUAUGAUGAUAGCCAUAUCUCAGGUCCAAUUUAGAAAGAUAGGCAACCAGUCUAAACUUAUCUAACAACUCUUCUGUUAUUGGAAUGGGAAACUUGACCUUCGCAAUGAGUUGAUUCAACUAUCUUUUUUAACCAUCAUAAUUAAAUAUGCAAAUGAAUUAUUAUUGGCUCUAAUUAUCCCCGUAGAUGAUAUCUCAUUAAUCAAUUUCUCAAUCUCAUCCUUUUGAAUUAUGGGGUGCCUAUAUGGUCUCACCUUAACCACUUUUGUCUCAUCCUUAAGGGAUAUCUUACGAUCUUGUGACCUUAAUGGGGGAAACUUAGAAGCCUCUUGAAAUGCAUAAUUGAAUUCCUACAACAAGGUCUAUAAUUCCUAAUGAACUUCAUAUUUCUUCACCACUAAUUUUUAUUGUGCUUGAGCAGCCAUAAGAUAAGCCCUGAACUUAAUUGUCCCUUAAAUCCCACCAUAGAUAAGGAUUUAGAACUCAAUUUGGCAUCCAUCAACUGAAUCGCACCUAGCACAAUGCCCUUUAGCACACAAGGCUGAUGCUCAUACAUAAAUUGCAUGGACAAGUAAGCAAAAUUCCAAAUAAUAAGGCCAAGUUCCACUAACCACUGUAUAACCAAGACCACAUCACAUCCUUUGAAGGGUAGGAUCAUGAAAUCAGUCGCAAAUUUUAGACAUUGAGUUUCCCAUUAUACAUUCUUACAUUUUCCCUUGGUGAAUUCAAAACCUCCAUCGACCACUACCACUCUUAAAUUGUACUAUCUCCAUAUAGGCACACCUAACAUCUUAACAACCUCCACAAUCAAUAAAUUAUGAAUACUACUAAAAUAACCAAUACCACCACCUAUUGACUUCCAAAAUAAGAUCUUAUCCAUAUUGUCACUCCCUCAUUAGACUUUUACAUUACAUGAAGAGAUAAAGUGAGAAGAGUUCGGUCACUAUCUUGUGUUUGAACUAGAUUCUCACAAUCCAAAAAUUUAUCCUCCCCCUGACCUUCAACCUCAUCUAACAAGAUUUGGUAUAACUGAGAUAUAGUACAUCUAUGCCCUAGAAAAGACUUAGCUCCUCACCAAUAAUAAAGCUCUUCUUUUUCCUACCUUCUAUUUCGAUAGGAGAAAGGUGUUGGAAAAAUCUGGUUUAGAAAAAGGUUUUAUAUCAUAGCGGAAAAUUAAAAUUUGAAAAUUGAAUCCUUUUUAUAUUUAUAGUAAUAACCUAUUUCUCGAAAAAUACUUGUACUUUUUGUGAGACGGAUUCUCGACCUUCUUGACUUUCAACUAAACGAUCUUCUCCAUUAUUCUUGCACCACAAAUUGCUUUGAGUCUGGGCUUGGACAAUCACAAACCAAGCACAUAACCUGAAAUGAUUUAUUACUUUCAAUAGAAAAGUAAUUCACUCUCAAUAGAAACGAAUAGAAUUCUAGUUCUCAAAAAAUAGAACUUAUUCUUAAAAAAUAAAUUCUCACUACUUUCUGGCAAAAUAAUAAUAUUUGAAACUUCCUCUUCUAUUAAUAGCACUACUAGUGUUAUCUAUUUAUAGAGAGAGAUAGAAGAAUCCUAGUUGAAUUAGUAAAACACAAAUAAUAUUUAUUUAAUAAGAAACAAUAUUAUACAAGUAAAAUAGGAUGGAUGACACACCUUUGUAAAACUACAAGGUUUUCUGCCCCUCUCAUGUAUGAGAGUAUUUGGACCUCUCCAAUUAUAUGUGAUUCCUGAACUUUUAAUCCAACACUUUAUACUUUAACCCAACCACAAUACAUGUUUUCUAUUUCCUAAAAUAAAUAUUAUUUCUGAUUAAAUAAUUUUCUCAAUUCAAUUCUAAUUUCAUAAAAGUCAUGAUAGUUUUAUCGUAAAAGAAUCUAUGAAGAAAUAUAUUAAAUUUUCAUAUUCAAUGGAGUCACAAUUACUAAUUAAUUUAAUUCCAUUUUUGAACUUCAAUUAAUUAAUUAAUAAUUCUAAAACCUUCAAUUAAUUACCAUUUCAUUUCUAUACUCAGUGAGAAAGCACAUUCACUUGUAAACAUGACCCUUUCUCUAAUUCAUCAUUUUCAUCCAUUUAUGUUCAUUUGGUUCUACAUGAAAUUCAUUUCUGGUGUCAACGAGCUAGCAGAGGGACCAGUUGAAAAUAUGUAAUUACGACUCUAGUAAUUUAUAAUUAAGUUUGAGCUUUUCACCUACUAAUUAUAAAAUUAUUUAUUAAUGAAGUAAUUCCACUAUAGUAUCGUAACUAAGCUUUCCCUAGUUUCAUAGGUUGUGAAAGAAAGUCUACAACAACAGUACAAUUGAAUGAUCCAUCUUGUUUGCGAGUGGUCACAUGGCCUAACACGACUGACCCGUUGCUUGGAGAGAUUGAAGGCCCACAUACAUAACAUGGAAAAUAUGGGAAGUAGUCUUAGAAGAUUUGGUUCUGUAAAUAUUAGGAGAUUUGAUUUGUAGAUUGCUUUUAAUCUUGGUCAUUGAUGUACUUUAUUUUGUACUGUUGGAUCUAGGGGAGCUCAACUAUAAAUAGAGGCUUCUCCCCCUCAUUUGUAAUCACUUCAUUCUUGAGUAAUAGAAUUCUUCAAGAGCAUUCACUCAAA
This 7968-nucleotide long non-coding RNA is filed under the name Gossypium barbadense (sea-island cotton). Its description in RNAcentral is "long non-coding RNA (GBAR_LNC004527)". The record is from RNAcentral. Lineage: Eukaryota; Viridiplantae; Streptophyta; Magnoliopsida; Malvales; Malvaceae.